AUUUUCCCCACGCUAUCUCACAAUUGGUUUUUCUCUUUCCAGAAAUGCCCCACCCAUCAGCUGAUGUCCCGGAAGAUGAUCAAGGCGAGCACGUCUACAACAACACUGAUGGCCAACACGAGUAUUUCUCCAACUCUUCUUUGUUAGGAGAUGACAAGGCGAGCCGCCCGUCUGCCCCCGAUGCAAGUCUCUUGGACAACCAGGUCUAUUACAACACCAGCCCGAUGACUGGCAGCUUGACGGAGGCGACUCUUUGAUAGGGGCGUGUCUUGUGGGGAUGGGCGUGUCUUAUUGAGCAGGACAGAGGCUUGUCUUGUCAUGAGAGUGGUGUGUCUUGUUUUAUAGGAAAUGGGCGUGUGUCUUUUUAAACGAGACAUGGGCUAGUCUUGUUAAAUAGAACAGUGGGGUCUCUUGUUAUAUAGGACAUGGUCGUGUCUUAUUGAGCAGGACAGAGGCUUGUCUUGUCAUGACAGUGGCGUUUCUUGUUUUAUAGGACAUGGGCGUGUCUAGUUAAAUAGGACAGGGGUGUGUCUUAUUAAAUAGGACAGUGGAGUGUGUCUUGUUAAAUAAGGGAUUGGCGUUUCCUGUUAAAUAAGACAGGAGUGUGUCUUAUUAAACUGGAAAGGGGUGUGCCUUGUUAAAUGAGACAUUGGCUUGUCUUGUUAAAUAAGGCAGGGGGUGUGUCUUGUCAUAUAGUGCAGGGGGUGUCCUGUUAAAUAGGACAGGGGGUGUGUUUUGUCAAAUAGGAAA
Molecule: long non-coding RNA, 750 nt
Organism: Aplysia californica (California sea hare)
Lineage: Eukaryota; Metazoa; Mollusca; Gastropoda; Aplysiida; Aplysiidae
Exons: 2
Source: RefSeq, a predicted model, not a curated record